GCGAACGCUGGCGGCAGGCUUAACACAUGCAAGUCGAGCGGGCACUUUCGGGUGUCAGCGGCGGACGGGUGAGUAACGCGUGGGAACGUGCCCUCUGGUUCGGAAUAACUCAGGGAAACUUGAGCUAAUACCGGAUACGCCCUUUUGGGGAAAGGCUUGCUGCCGGAGGAUCGGCCCGCGUCUGAUUAGCUAGUUGGUGAGGUAACGGCUCACCAAGGCGACGAUCAGUAGCUGGUCUGAGAGGAUGAUCAGCCACACUGGGACUGAGACACGGCCCAGACUCCUACGGGAAGCAGCAGUGGGGAAUAUUGGACAAUGGGCGCAAGCCUGAUCCAGCCAUGCCGCGUGAGUGAUGAAGGCCUUAGGGUUGUAAAGCUCUUUUAUCCGGGACGAUAAUGACGGUACCGGAGGAAUAAGCCCCGGCUAACUUCGUG
This 434-nucleotide ribosomal RNA is filed under the name uncultured bacterium. RNAcentral's name for it is "partial 16S ribosomal RNA". It matches the Rfam family "Bacterial small subunit ribosomal RNA", at positions 29 to 507 of the family's 1533-position model. The record is from RNAcentral.